AUGGUGUUACCUGCAGCUGGUUCGGCCGCCCAUNGGUCGUCGCAAGAGGGAACCCGGUGCGAGUCCGGGACUGCCCCGCAGCGGUGAGUGGGAACGAACGCCGUCACCAAGCACUGGACGCGAAGCGUCUGGGAAGCGACGGCCAGUAGGCGAGCUCGCCGCACCGAUCGGCCACGGCCGAAUCGGUGCGGCUCUCCGGCCCACGAGUCCGAAGACCUGCCAGCGCACCGCACGGGAC
RNAcentral lists this non-coding RNA (238 nucleotides) under Angustibacter sp. Root456. The record is from RNAcentral. RNAcentral also lists the same sequence under 1 other name. Lineage: Bacteria; Bacillati; Actinomycetota; Actinomycetes; Kineosporiales; Kineosporiaceae.